RNAcentral lists this ribosomal RNA (492 nucleotides) under uncultured bacterium. RNAcentral describes it as "partial 16S ribosomal RNA". It matches the Rfam family "Bacterial small subunit ribosomal RNA", at positions 29 to 507 of the family's 1533-position model. The record is from RNAcentral.
AGUGAACGCUGGCGGUAGGCCUAACACAUGCAAGUAGAACGGCAGCACAGUAAGAGCUUGCUCUUACGGGUGGCGAGUGGCGGACGGGUGAGGAAUACAUCGGAAUCUACUCUUUCGUGGGGGAUAACGUAGGGAAACUUACGCUAAUACCGCAUACGACCUACGGGUGAAAGCAGUGGAUCUUCGGACCUUGCGCGAUUGAAUGAGCCGAUGUCGGAUUAGCUAGUUGGCGGGGUAAAGGCCCACCAAGGCGACGAUCCGUAGCUGGUCUGAGAGGAUGAUCGGCCACACUGGAACUGAGACACGGUCCAGACCCCUACGGGAGGCAGCAGUGGGGAAUAUUGGACAAUGGGCGCAAGCCUGAUCCAGCCAUACCGCGUGGGUGAAGAAGGCCUUCGGGUUGUAAAGCCCUUUUGUUGGGAAAGAAAAGCAGCAGGUUAAUACCCCGCUGUUCUGACGGUACCCAAAGAAUAAGCACCGGCUAACUUCGUG